This 622-nucleotide ribosomal RNA is filed under the name Trichosporon asahii. RNAcentral describes it as "partial large subunit ribosomal RNA". It matches the Rfam family "Eukaryotic large subunit ribosomal RNA", at positions 71 to 681 of the family's 3401-position model. Lineage: Eukaryota; Fungi; Basidiomycota; Tremellomycetes; Trichosporonales; Trichosporonaceae. The record is from RNAcentral.
UUGAUUCUCUAGUAGCGGCGAGUGAAGCGGGAAGAGCUCAAAUUUGAAAUCUGGCAGUCUUCGAUUGUCCGAGUUGUAAUCUAUAGAGGCGUUUUCCGUGCCGGACCGUGUCCAAGUCUCCUGGAAAGGAGUAUCAAAGAGGGUGAUAAUCCCGUACUUAACACGACCACCGGUGCUCUGUGAUACGUCUUCUACGAGUCGAGUUGUUUGGGAAUGCAGCUCAAAAUGGGUGGUGAAUUCCAUCUAAAGCUAAAUAUUGGCGAGAGACCGAUAGCGAACAAGUACCGUGAGGGAAAGAUGAAAAGCACUUUGGAAAGAGAGUUAAACAGUACGUGAAAUUGUUGAAAGGGAAACGAUUGAAGUCAGUCGUGUUCUUUGGAUUCAGCCAGUUCUGCUGGUCUACUUCCUUUGAACGGGUCAACAUCAGUUUUGUCCGGUGGAUAAAGGUAGUAGGAAUGUGACUUCCCCGGAAGUGUUAUAGCCUAUUAUCACAUACACUGGGUGAGACUGAGGACUGCAGCUCGCCUUUAUGGCCGACCUUCGGGUACGUUCGAGCUUAGGAUGUUGACAUAAUGGCUUUAAACGACCCGUCUUAAAACACCCGGACCAAAGGAAAAAAUAA